This is a long non-coding RNA of Dermochelys coriacea (leatherback sea turtle), 1120 nucleotides long. RefSeq lists it as uncharacterized. Lineage: Eukaryota; Metazoa; Chordata; Testudines; Dermochelyidae. The transcript is spliced from 3 exons. The record is from RefSeq and is a predicted model, not a curated record.
GGACCAGGGCUUGCGGACUGGGGUUCUGUGUUACUGACAUAUGGCUUGAGAAUGCCACCUGCCAGCCUGAGCCCCUGAGGAAGAAAAUAGACCAGUCAGGUUUUUUUUUCUGUUGGAAACUCCCAGGAUUAAGCCUUGGCCUUUAGGUAUACAGGAGAGUGGAGCCAAGACAGUCUGUGGAGCUGGAAAGUCUGCUUCCCACUCCCUUGCACAAGGAACAGGGCCUGACCUCUUGACUGCUUCUUGCCCACUUCAGGAAGGGGUGGACUCACUGAGAAAUACAGCAAAGAUUGUAUCCCAUCUCCCAGGACCACCAUAGGAUUGCUGCCAUCCAGAGAUUGCUGCAUGAAAUUCUUCUCUGCAUUUGAAGCUGCUGGUGUAUAACAGAUACCGACCAUAUGUUCUUCCAGAGUUGAGCACAGUAGUAAGAAAACUGCAAUGUUCUUACACUCUUGAUCAUCCAUCCACCACUUCCACCAUAAUGAACCUUUAACUAGAAUGAAAGAGAGGAACAAUACAGGAGGCCCUUUCCCAACUGCUUGUAUGUCAUGUUCUAACAAAUAGCAGUUGGCAGUUGGUAAUGUUCAGGUUCAGUCUAACUCCCAUUACUACUGAAAAAUUCGGGUAUCACCCAUAGCAUUUCAUUGGUGAGUUCACUUCAGUAAUGAGAGGGCACUUUGGGGAGUACAAAGCCUAAGUCCCUGAGGCCACACACAAAGAACAGAGCAGCCACAUUUCUUUUACUAUUUUUGCUAAUAAACACAUGCAUCAGUAACUGCCAUAACUUAAUUACUGCAAAGUAGCUUGAAACCACUAACUUAACACUGCAUAAACAAGACGUAAAAACAACCUCACUAGGAAUAUCAUUCCUCAUCCUUGGACUUGGACCCACUAAAGUCAAUGGCAUGAAAUUAAUGGGAGGAAGGUUGGGCCCCUUGUGUCCCUACUGGGUUAGGACUUCAAUGCAUUGUGCCUGGGAAACCCCAUUUCCUUGUAGCGUUUGCAGUUUCAUUUACAUGACAUUUCAUAAAGGUUUCUCUUUCCAAGUAAAAUGCAGGAGUGAGUUUGUUUUUUAACUUUAUACAUGAGGGAUUAGAUCAUCACCUCUCUAACUAGUGCC